GAGCGGGGAAAAGUAGCUUGCUACUUAACCUAGCGGUGGACGGGUGAGUAAUGCUUAGGAAUCUGCCUAUUAGUGGGGGACAACAUCUCGAAAGGGAUGCUAAUACCGCAUACGUCCUACGGGAGAAAGCAGGGGACCUUCGGGCCUUGCGCUAAUAGAUGAGCCUAAGUCGGAUUAGCUAGUUGGUGGGGUAAAGGCCUACCAAGGCGACGAUCUGUAGCGGGUCUGAGAGGAUGAUCCGCCACACUGGGACUGAGACACGGCCCAGACUCCUACGGGAGGCAGCAGUGGGGAAUAUUGGACAAUGGGGGGAACCCUGAUCCAGCCAUGCCGCGUGUGUGAAGAAGGCCUUUUGGUUGUAAAGCACUUUAAGCGAGGAGGAGGCUACCGAGAUUAAUACUCUUGGAUAGUGGACGUUACUCGCAGAAUAAGCACCGGCUAACUCUGUG
RNAcentral lists this ribosomal RNA (449 nucleotides) under uncultured bacterium. RNAcentral's name for it is "bacterial SSU rRNA". It matches the Rfam family "Bacterial small subunit ribosomal RNA", at positions 64 to 507 of the family's 1533-position model. The record is from RNAcentral.